GAUGAAGAACGCAGCGAAAUGCGAUAAGUAAUGUGAAUUGCAGAAUUCAGUGAAUCAUCGAAUCUUUGAACGCACAUUGCGCCCGCCAGUAUUCUGGCGGGCAUGCCUGUUCGAGCCUCAUUACAACCCUCAGGCCCCCGGGCCUGGCGUUGGGGAUCGGCGGAAGCCCCCUGUGGGCACACGCCGUCCCUCAAAUACAGUGGCGGUCCCGCCGCAGCUUCCAUUGCGUAGUAGCUAACACCUCGCAACUGGAGAGCGGCGCGGCCAUGCCGUAAAACACCCAACUUCUGAAUGUUGACCUCGAAUCAGGUAGGAAUACCCGCUGAACUUAAGCAUAUCAAUAAGCGGAGGA
Molecule: unclassified non-coding RNA, 352 nt
Filed under: soil metagenome
Description: partial contains 5.8S ribosomal RNA, internal transcribed spacer 2, and large subunit ribosomal RNA
Rfam family: 5.8S ribosomal RNA (bases 1-120)
Source: RNAcentral